UGGGGAAUCUUCCGCAAUGGACGAAAGUCUGACGGAGCAACGCCGCGUGAGUGAUGACGGUCUUCGGAUUGUAAAGCUCUGUUAAUCGGGACGAAUGGUUUGUGUGCAAAUAGUGCAUAGACAUGACGGUACCGGAAUAGAAAGCCACGGCUAACUACGUGCCAGCAGCCGCGGUAAUACGUAGGUGGCAAGCGUUGUCCGGAAUUAUUGGGCGUAAAGCGCGCGCAGGCGGACUAGCCAGUCAGUCUUAAAAGUUCGGGGCUUAACCCCGUGAUGGGAUUGAAACUACUAGUCUAGAGUAUCGGAGAGGAAAGGGGAAUUCCUAGUGUAGCGGUGAAAUGCGUAGAUAUUAGGAAGAACACCAGUGGCGAAGGCGACUUUCUGGACGAACACUGACGCUGAGGCGCGAAAGCCAGGGGAGCGAACGGG
RNAcentral lists this ribosomal RNA (429 nucleotides) under Verrucomicrobiota bacterium. RNAcentral describes it as "Verrucomicrobia bacterium partial 16S ribosomal RNA". It matches the Rfam family "Bacterial small subunit ribosomal RNA", at positions 355 to 776 of the family's 1533-position model. The record is from RNAcentral. Lineage: Bacteria; Pseudomonadati; Verrucomicrobiota.